Molecule: small nucleolar RNA, 76 nt
Filed under: Prunus dulcis (almond)
Lineage: Eukaryota; Viridiplantae; Streptophyta; Magnoliopsida; Rosales; Rosaceae
Description: sRNA ncRNA
Source: RNAcentral
GUGAUAUGAUGAGGAACUUAUUGGUCCGUGUUUCUGAUUUAACCGUGACCGACAAACCUUAACCAACUCUGAUCGC